Long non-coding RNA from Ctenopharyngodon idella (grass carp), 2439 nucleotides. RefSeq lists it as uncharacterized. The transcript is spliced from 2 exons. Lineage: Eukaryota; Metazoa; Chordata; Actinopteri; Cypriniformes; Xenocyprididae. The record is from RefSeq and is a predicted model, not a curated record.
GCCCACAAAAAUGUAAGCCCUAAAAAUACAAUGCAUUAAAAUGCAAGCACGGUUAAUGCAAUGCACAUUUUUUUCAAUUAGUGCUCACGUUGCUAUCUCUGUUUAAACUAAACUCAUUUAAACCUUUCCAAUUUAAACAUUCAACCGUAAAACGCGAAAGAGAACUCACACACGCUGUGAGGAGAUUUGUGUGUGUACUCAUCCGAAGCGCGUACACAGAAAGCCGCGUCACAGUGCGCAAAUACUCUCACGCAAAUUCUCUUUCAAGUCUUGCACCUGAACGGACAAAUUCACACAAUUAUGUCAGCAUGCCCAUCUUAGCGAGUAUCCUAACAAACAUAGUAGGUUAUGUCUUAAGAAAAAAACGAGACACACAACGCAUGUGUAUAAGUGUAUAGGAUCUUUGAAUUAUGUCUUAAAGUGACAGAAGUCUAAAAUUCCUGCUCUCUGUGUUUUAAUGUUAAUCAAAUUACAAAAGACAAAGAAAUCACUCAUUGCUACUGACUGAAUAGCUUUUGUAACUUCAAUAAUGUUUAAUCUUUAUUUAAUUUAUUCAAUGAAGUUUAUAUGCAGUGUUAUUUUAUAUUUGAUUACUUUAUUCAAUUUCUGUACAUGAAAACGACUGUUAGAUACCUGAAAAACCUGUAAAACAUUUAUUUUAUUUGUAUCUUAGCUCUCAUGUAUUUAUUUGUGCUGUUUCUUGUAGUUAGAUUAUUUGUAUUUAUUUUCUUUAUUUUUAUUUGACAUAGCACAUACCGAACCAUACCGAAACCUUGACCCUAAAACCAUGAUAAAAAUCGAAUCGUGACUAAUCCAAACUGUUCCACCCCUAAUAGAUAGAUAGAUAGAUAGAUAGAUAGAUAGAUAAAUAGAUAGAUAAAUAUUUUGUAUAUAUUUUUCUAUGUAUAUAUUUUAAUGUAUAUCCAGGUGAAACAGUUUCUGAAACAAAGGACGGGGCUUGAUUUUAUCAGUGGGGAAGUGACAGGUUGUCCCGCCAUCUUGCCAGUAAACACAUCAUUAGAGAACACUCUAAAAGUAAUUCAGUGGCUUAGUAAACAUCACAGUAAUAAUUAACUUUAUUAACUUAAUAAAAUCUCUGAAUAUCAUUUACUUGAUGGUUUUAGUUGAACACACCAAAAUAAUUGACUAAAAAUCCAACAGUUAAUUUUGUCUAAGAUUUACAGUUAUAUUUAAGUUUUUGGGUUGUUGUGUUUUUUUUUUUUUUUUUUUUUUUUUUUCACUAAAAGAAUUUAGUAUUUUACUAACAAAUUAUUUAAAAAAAUAUAUAUACUUAAUAUAUUUGUGAAAAUCAAAAUUUUGCGAAUGGAGAAUUAAACUGAUCUGUUUCAAGAACCACAAAAAUUACUUAAUUCAAAUCAAUAUUAUUAAUUUUUAACACACACUAAAGAAAUUGAGUAAGUUUACUCAAUUAAAACAUUGCACCCCUCCCCCACCCUCCGACGUGACAACAACUCAACGGUUAAGUGAGCGCGGGCUGUUUGAAUCCUUUUCCAGUCUCCAGAGCAGUUCUCCCUUCUCAGCGUUGCAGAAUUGGUGCAUUUCCUCUGUGAAAUUCAGGUUAUGGAGUCGCGUCACAGCAUCUUUUGGUACGAGUGAAAUGCAGAACGGCGGUCUGAAGUUAGUUCACCCGCAGAGGGCGAGUCCAUCUCACGAGCGAGAACCUAUGCUAAUUCGGUGGAAAUGGGAUAACAGACCAGUUGAUUACACAUAAAUUACCUUUAAAUGUUUAAUUUUUAUUUCUAAAAUGUUUGUAACAUGAUUUUUAAUGUAGGUCAUAUUGUAUACAUGUUAAAAUAGCAUACAUACCUGCAAACUUGUCUUCGCCGUUUUAAAUCAAAAUAUGGGGAAUUGCAAAUUGCAAUAAACCUCACAAGAAUCAAAAAUGGGCUAUACAUUCCCAAACACUGGAGUGAGACCAUAGAUGUCUCUCAAGGUGUCGCGAUCUUUCUUGGCGCUCUGUGGCGUGACAGAUUGCUGUAAGGCUUCAGUUCAAGCAGAGCGCACGUGAACCGACCAUCUCUUCCACUUUACUAGUUACAACACAAAAUAAACAUGAAUGAACAUCCGAAGGUAUAUUGAAAGAUACAGUACAACUUGCCAAAAUCCGUAUUAUGUCACAUGUAAUCGAUGUAAUCUGUUUCAACUGUGGAAAGGCGUCAAUAAAACAGCUUGUAAAAAUGUCACAUUUACCAUCACAUUUACCUCAGAAAAGCUGUUCAAUGUCCAAAAACACAUUAGUCAGCUACAAAAAUGAACUUAGAGAGGAGCAUUUUGCUAAAUAUAUGAUGCCCCCAGACCACCCUACAAUAAUUUUGUUCAGAAACAUGUCACCUUUUUCCCCUCUUUUGAGUUUGCAGGUAUGAGUAUAAAAUAUGCUGUAUUGCUGUACUUGUCAACAAUAAAGGCUAAUGUCAUGUA